AUUCUCCACACACUCUUCCUUUCAGUCCAGAAGUUGUUACUAGUAACUCCUGCCAUUCCUAAUGACAUUUUUACCACUUUCUUUCUUGUAGAGAAGUGGGUAGAGAGAAUCACUUUGUGUCUUUACCCUGAACUUGACCAUGGCUUUAGGCAAACAGACUGUCUUGGCUUUCUAUGACCAACUUUUAAAUAGGAGCAGACAGAAACUUGGGUCAUAGUUCUGCAGUCACAAGGGCUUUGUAGUCAGUCUUAGCUGCUGGAACAUUCAAGGAGACAAAAAGGCACAGAAGAUCUCCACACAUACUUUGAUGCCAACUACAGCAAGUUGCAAGACCAUUUCUCUGCUGAAACUCCUUUAUUCUGAAGAUUCCAAGCAAGAAAGUAUUCAGCAGUGGCUGGACUCUGGAUUCUUUGUCUCUGCAAAUGAAAACUUUCAACAAGUCAUUGACCGCACUGUUUCUUUGUAUGAACAAGGGAUGGUUCAAAUGACUGUGAAAGACUACAUGAGAUCUUUGCAUCAGUUUUCAGAAACUCCCAUCCUAUCCAGAGGGACCAGUUUCAACUCUUGCUAUUCUACUGCAAGUGUACCACAAAGCAUUCCUGAAUGGCUGGAAUUUUGGGAGAUAGAUCCAGUGGAGAUUCUCUUGGAUCUGGGGUUUGGUGCUGAUGAGCCA
This 673-nucleotide small RNA is filed under the name Pan troglodytes (chimpanzee). Its description in RNAcentral is "processed transcript". The record is from RNAcentral. Lineage: Eukaryota; Metazoa; Chordata; Mammalia; Primates; Hominidae.